Molecule: ribosomal RNA, 484 nt
Filed under: uncultured bacterium
Lineage: Bacteria
Description: partial 16S ribosomal RNA
Rfam family: Bacterial small subunit ribosomal RNA
Source: RNAcentral
AUUGAACGCUAGCGGGAUGCUUUACACAUGCAAGUCGAACGGCAGCGCGGACUUCGGUCUGGCGGCGAGUGGCGAACGGGUGAGUAAUGUAUCGGAACGUGCCCAGUAGCGGGGGAUAACUACGCGAAAGCGUAGCUAAUACCACAUACGCCCUACGGGGGAAAGCAGGGGAUCGUAAGACCUUGCACUAUUGGAGCGGCCGAUAUCGGAUUAGCUAGUUGGUGAGGUAACGGCUCACCAAGGCGACGAUCCGUAGCUGGUUUGAGAGGACGACCAGCCACACUGGGACUGAGACACGGCCCAGACUCCUACGGGAGGCAGCAGUGGGGAAUUUUGGACAAUGGGGGCAACCCUGAUCCAGCCAUCCCGCGUGUGCGAUGAAGGCCUUCGGGUUGUAAAGCACUUUUGGCAGGAAAGAAACGUCGCGGGCUAAUACCCCGUGGAACUGACGGUACCUGCAGAAUAAGCACCGGCUAUCUACGUG